Molecule: ribosomal RNA, 254 nt
Filed under: uncultured bacterium
Lineage: Bacteria
Description: partial 16S ribosomal RNA
Rfam family: Bacterial small subunit ribosomal RNA
Source: RNAcentral
UACGGAGGGUGCAAGCGUUAUCCGGAUUCACUGGGUUUAAAGGGUGCGUAGGCUGUUAUAUAAGUCUGUUGUGAAAGGCGUCGGCUCAACCGGACGAACUGCAAUGGAUACUGUAUAACUUGAAUUAGGUUUAGGUAGGCGGAAUGCGGCAUGUAGCGGUGAAAUGCUUAGAUAUGCCGUAGAACACCGAUUGCGAAGGCAGCUUGCUGGGCCUAUAUUGACGCUGAGGCACGAAAGCGUGGGGAGCGAACAGG